UUAGAAGAGUACGAGAAAAAGAAGGCAAGCUGUUGGCACAACAUUGAUAUAGAGUUCAUGACUUCUCUGUGAGGCUUUUGCAGAAACCUUUCCCUGAUGGAUAAGCUGAUUGUGCUGGUUCUCUUGUGUGGUUUGAUGAGAAGUGGUAGCAGAUCUCUAGGGUCUUUCUCAGGGUCAGUGUGUAAAUUCUCAUGUACAUCAUGAUGCAGAAACCCCCCUUUGGAUACCCCUUCCUACAAGUUAGUAAUUUUCUCCUUCAAGAAAUUGUAUUUGUAUUAUAAAAAUUGUCUAUUUUAGGUUCUUGCUUAGUCUUAAAAACUACGUAAGGAAUAGACAUUAUCCAGAAGGUGCGAUUGCAGAGGGACGUUGGAUAGACGAGUUAAUGACGUUUUGCUCAUGGUAUUUAGAUGACGUGGAGACUAAGUUUAAUCGACCUUUAAGAAAUGAUGUUUUAUCUAAUGAAACAACAGACCAAGAGGGUCGUCGAUCAAGUAGAGAGAAAGGAUUUAAGCUUGAUACAUUACACGUGCUCAAGCCCACAUAUAUGUUUUAUUUAAUUCUACCUCCACAACUUCAUAUCGUGAUGAACAUAUAAAAGAAAUCAAGAAGGAAAAUCAUCGUCUAUCAAGACAUAAUGUGGAUCGAAUUCAUAAUGAAAGAUUUCAACUAUGGUUUAGAAAUCAUGUCGAGAAGAUGCAUAUGGCUAGUGAACAAAUUUCCGAGGAUAUUCAAACUUUAACUAUUGGCCCAUUAAUACAAGCAAAAAUAAUGACCGGCUAUAUAUGUGAUAGAGUUAGAUACUUAACAGAGUCUCGUGAUGUUAAGAGAAAAACUCAAAAUAGUGGUCUUAUGUUAAAGGCUUUCACUCAAAGUUAUGCAAGCACAAAAGAUAAAAAUCCCAUAUUGGCAGAGGUUUCUUUUUAUGGAAUCCUCACAGACAUAAUUGAGUUAUAUUAUACCAAGCAUCUCAAGUUUGUAUUGUUUAAAUGUAAAUGGGUGAACAAUAACAAAGGGCUUAUUGAGAAAGAUGAUUAUGGAUUUACUCUUGUGAAUUUUAAUCAUCUACUCUAUACAAGACAUCAGUUAUCGGAUGAACCAUUCAUCUUUGCUUCUCAAGAUCAACAAGUGUUUUAUGUCGAUCAUCCUAUGGAAAAGGAGUGGCGAAUUGUUGUUAAACUUAAGCCAAGAGGUUUUUAUGAUUUAGGUGAUAACACACCAACAAUUGAGCAUAAGGAAGGACAUAUGGAGUUGUGGCCUGAACAACAAUUGGAUGACACAACAUUUGAAAGUGAAGAAGACAUUGAAUGGGUUAGAGAAGGAGUACCAGGAUUAGAAAUUGACCCAGAAACUUUGGAAAGUAAUGAAGCAUAUGAUUAAGAUGACAACAUAUCUUAAUUUUUGUUACUAUAGUAGUAUAAUCGCUAUUUAAGUACAACUGAUUGUUGAACAAUAAUGACUUUGAUGUUUUUUACUCUUCAUUCAGUUGUUAAAAUCUCAUAUGUUUAUAUGUCUUAUUAUUUGACAUGAUAGUUAGAUAUUAUUUUAUACUUUUGUAUAGUAGAAACUACUUUAAAUUUGGCAGGAUUCAUAGCUGUUGAGGAACUUUGUUGAAAUGGCAAGAAAAAGACAGAAAUUUUAGUCAAUGUGAGCUUUUAUAUGAUUCUUUGGAGCAACAAAAACAACAAAUCGGAAGUAUUCCAAUGCCUCAACCGCCCCAAAAUUGGCCACAAAAUGAAAGAGAUAAAUCACAUGAUACAGAAAAUCUUCUAGAUUCUAAUGAGAGUGAAGAGCAAUCUAAGUGAACUAGGGGUCCCACUAUGAUGCACUCGGGAUGGGGAAAGAAGGUGGAAAUUUACAUAUUGAAUUGAAUGCACAUGGCCAAGUUAUUGGGUUAGAAGGAACUAGAUUGAGUUCAAAACUUGGUGUGCUAGCACGAAAUGGCAUCUUAGCGCCAUUGAAUCAUAAAGAUUGGAGGCUUGUACCUAGUAUGUACAAGGAUAGAUUAUGGUCUCAUAUCAAGGAAAAUACUGACACAACUGAUGACAUGAAACGCAUACUGAUGAUGUCAUUUGGAUCUAAAUGGAAAGAAUCAAAGCAUGAAGUAAAAACCAUUGGCUAUGACCCAUAUAACAUUGAUAUUGAGCGUUUAGCUCAUUGUCCAGAUAGAGUUGAAGAAGAUCAGUGGCGCUCAUUAGUUCAUUAUUGGAGCUCAAAAGAAGCAAAGAAACAAAUGGAUGAUCUUGCCGAGGUGUAUCCUGAGUUGAAUGUCCCUGGAAGUGCUCCUAAUGAUGUGUACUAACAAGUAAUGGGAUCAGACACUCAUGGAAUUGUCCGAACUCUAGGAAAAGGAGCAUCUCCUAGCUUAGUAUAUGGCCCCGUAUAUAAACGAUCUCAGGCUGAAAAAAGAUAUUUUGAUUCAAGGGUUGAGAUGGAAGUUCAAAAAGCUACCUCGGCUAAGAAAAUUGAGAUGACAGAGAAGAUGUAUGAAGCAAAAAAAGAGAUGGAAGCGAUGGAUAAAAAGUUGUUAGAAGCGAAAGAGGAAACAAAAGAGAAUAAGGAAGUGAUGGAGAGAACACUAUCAGAAGCAAAAAUGGAUAUGGAAGAAAUUAUAGAGGAUAAAGUAAAGGAAGGAAUACAAGCAUAUGUAGAGUCUUUGGGAAUUAAUAUUGAUGCAAAUUUAAAAUCAGAGUAGGUUCCUGAUAACCCACUUGAAGAUUGUCAACAACCAUCAUCACUUGUUCCAGGUGUUCACACAAGAAAGGCUAACAUGAUCAAGAGGACUGGAACUACCGUAGUUGGCACAAAUAAAAAGAAGUGGAGCUUUUAAGGAAAUUGAGGUCAAGUAUCGACUUCAUGAACAUGCUCGACUUUUGGAUUGAUGAUUUCAUAAAGAUUUAUUGACAAUUUACUAAGAGAUUUUAAUUUCAUUUGAAUUAGGAGUUAAUUAGUUGGUUUUAUGUUGAGAUUAUUGCAUUUAGUUAGAUCUCAAUUUUACUUGAGAUAGAAAAGAUAAUUUGUUCUGACAUUGUUUACUUUUACAUAAAACUUAUUAUAUUGCUAUUUUGUU
Molecule: RNA transcript, 3067 nt
Organism: Solanum tuberosum (potato)
Lineage: Eukaryota; Viridiplantae; Streptophyta; Magnoliopsida; Solanales; Solanaceae
Exons: 10
Source: RefSeq, a predicted model, not a curated record